AUCAACUUUCGAUGGUAGGAUAGAGGCCUACCAUGGUGGUAACGGGUAACGGGGUGUUAGGGCACGACACCGGAGAGGGAGCCUGAGAAACGGCUACCACAUCCAAGGAUGGCAGCAGGCGCGCAAAUUACCCAAUCCCGACACGGGGAGGUGGUGACAAUAAAUAACAAUACGGGGUUCUUUAGGAUCUCGUAAUUGGAAUGAGUACAAUUUAAAUCUCUUAACGAGGAACAAUUGGAGGGCAAGUCUGGUGCCAGCAGCCGCGGUAAUUCCAGCUCCAAUAGCGUAUAUUAAAGUUGUUGCAGUUAAAAAGCUCGUAGUUGAAUUUCGGGGUUAGUAGGUUGGUCAUGCCUCUGGUAUGUACUGGUCUCACUGAUUCCUCCUUCCUUAUGAACCGUAAUGCCAUUAAUUUGGUGUUGCGGGGAAUUUGGACUGUUACUUUGAAAAAAUUGGAGUGUUUAAAGCAAGCUAACGCUUGAAUACAUUAGCAUGGAAUAAUGAAAUAGGACGUUCGAUCUUAUUUUGUUGGUUUCUAGGAUUGACGUAAUGAUUAAUAGGGAUAGUUGGGGGCAUUAGUAUUCAAUUGUCAGAGGUGAAAUUCUUGGAUUUAUUGAAGACUAACUACUGCGAAAGCAUUUGCCAAGGAUGUUUUCAUUAAUCAAGAACGAAAGUUAGGGGAUCGAAGACGAUCAGAUACCGUCGUAGUCUUAACCAUAAACUAUGCCGACUAGGGAUCGGAUGAUGUUAAUUUUUUAAUGACUCAUUCGGCGCCUUACGGGAAACCAAAGUGUUUGGGUUC
This 799-nucleotide ribosomal RNA is filed under the name uncultured Rhizophagus. Its description in RNAcentral is "SSU rRNA". It matches the Rfam family "Eukaryotic small subunit ribosomal RNA", at positions 314 to 1114 of the family's 1831-position model. Lineage: Eukaryota; Fungi; Glomeromycota; Glomeromycetes; Glomerales; Glomeraceae. The record is from RNAcentral.